This 28-nucleotide non-coding RNA is filed under the name Homo sapiens (human). Lineage: Eukaryota; Metazoa; Chordata; Mammalia; Primates; Hominidae. The record is from RNAcentral.
UCACGUGGCAUGCAUUUCUUCUCAGUGG